Molecule: ribosomal RNA, 604 nt
Filed under: Streptomyces sp.
Lineage: Bacteria; Bacillati; Actinomycetota; Actinomycetes; Kitasatosporales; Streptomycetaceae
Description: bacterial SSU rRNA
Rfam family: Bacterial small subunit ribosomal RNA
Source: RNAcentral
AAAGCCUGAUGCAGCGACGCCGCGUGAGGGAUGACGGCCUUCGGGUUGUAAACCUCUUUCAGCAGGGAAGAAGCGAAAGUGACGGUACCUGCAGAAGAAGCGCCGGCUAACUACGUGCCAGCAGCCGCGGUAAUACGUAGGGCGCAAGCGUUGUCCGGAAUUAUUGGGCGUAAAGAGCUCGUAGGCGGCUUGUCACGUCGAUUGUGAAAGCCCGAGGCUUAACCUCGGGUCUGCAGUCGAUACGGGCUAGCUAGAGUGUGGUAGGGGAGAUCGGAAUUCCUGGUGUAGCGGUGAAAUGCGCAGAUAUCAGGAGGAACACCGGUGGCGAAGGCGGAUCUCUGGGCCAUUACUGACGCUGAGGAGCGAAAGCGUGGGGAGCGAACAGGAUUAGAUACCCUGGUAGUCCACGCCGUAAACGGUGGGAACUAGGUGUUGGCGACAUUCCACGUCGUCGGUGCCGCAGCUAACGCAUUAAGUUCCCCGCCUGGGGAGUACGGCCGCAAGGCUAAAACUCAAAGGAAUUGACGGGGGCCCGCACAAGCGGCGGAGCAUGUGGCUUAAUUCGACGCAACGCGAAGAACCUUACCAAGGCUUGACAUACACC